This 2305-nucleotide long non-coding RNA is filed under the name Homo sapiens (human). Its description in RNAcentral is "HSALNT0045472". The record is from RNAcentral. Lineage: Eukaryota; Metazoa; Chordata; Mammalia; Primates; Hominidae.
AACUCUAUUGACUAAGGGAAUGUUCACCAAACUUGAUUGAGAAUUACUUUUGGGGCACCUGUUAAAAAAAUUCCAGGCCCCUCCCCUAAAGAUCAAAUUUCUGGAGUGACCUGAAAAUCUGUUUACAAACAGUUUAAAUCAUUCUCAUUCCUACUAAGUUGAGAAACUAGGCGCUCAGUGUGAGAAACAUGCUCAGCCGUCCAAACCCAAAGAAUGGACUUAGAGGCAUGAAGAACAGCUCUCCUAAUCAUUCCCCGCUUCUCCUGUGAACAGGAUAUUCAUGACAGACAUCAUUUCAGCCCAGGUAUAAAAGCUGGGUUCCAGGAAUUGGUCUGCUAAAUGGCUGGGAUCUUGUAGGAGUGGUUUCAUUUGCUUCUUGAAAUUCCUAACUUCAGUUCUUGUAAGAGGAGCAUUUACAAAGCCAAUUUUUCCUUGUCCCAUGGGAACUUGCGUAAGCGUGAACAUGCUAGAUGCCUGCUGUGUGGAAGGGAUAGAGUCUCACUGUCGCCCCGCCUGGAGUGAAAUGGCACAAUCUUGGCUCACUGCAACCUCCGCCUCCCUGGUUCAAGCGAUUCUCCAGCCUCAGCCUCCUGAGUACCUGCGACUAUAGACGCACGCCAACAUUUCCUUUCAGAGAGCAACCGUUAGGUUACACAUACGAAGAUAGCCAGACAAAUCACUGUAUGAGAGAAACAACUCAGACGUUUCUUCUAAAAUUCUGCAAUUUGCCUAAAACCAUUUGCUACCAAAUAAAAGUUUUGCCUUGCUGUCGUAAUAGGGCAAGAAGCUUUAAAGGAUAAAGUAUAUUUUGCCUAGUAGGCUUGAGAUAUGGGUUCGUGAGAUGUUCAAUUAACUCUGAAUAAGUGAAUCUGGGAAAACCAGAGGUAGAAGAUGAAUAGAGAUAAUCAAACAAUUUUAAAUUCAAAACUUCAUUUUUGCAAAGAGUUUCAAAUUUAUGCCCCAUCUUUUAAAAAAAUGGAUAAUAAAACUGAAUGUGUUUCAACCACCUUUCUAUUUCUGCUGGCUAACUAAAGAAGAUGCAAAUGAGCAGUAAAAAAAAAGAAAGGCAUCAAAAGAAAGAAGAAAACCCAAUGACUAGGACAUCUCACAUCUGGGUAUCAACCUGUGAACAAUUAGAGAGCUGACUAUAAAAUAUAAUUAAAAGUAAGCAAUAUGUAAAAUAUCUUUAAAACAUUUUUAUUCAUGAAAGCCAUUUGGUUCUCAACAGAAUGGCCUCAUUUAUCCAGAAAUCUCACUAUGUUCAAAAUGACUCAUUUCUAUAGGCUGGUUUUAAUUGUAUUUGUAAGAUAACAUGACCUGGUAUGCAAAACAAAAAGACUUAAGAAUACAAUAUAAAUACUAUCAUGAAUUAACACAGCUUUUUACAUCAUAAAAACCUGCUAAAAAUCAAAAACUUCUGCCACUGUGAUUAUUACUGUAUUAGCAAAUUAUUAAUAGAAGUGUAAAACCCCAAAAAAGCAACUUAAACCAAAAUAACUAAACCUAGACUACUCAACAACAAUAAAAACCCAAAGAGCUCUUUACCAUUAGCUACACUAAUUUUCUGUUUUUCCAGUCAAUUUAUGAGGCAGGAAAUGCGUCUGUGAGAUCCAUAUGCUUUGUUCCCAACGCUAAAGAGAACAAUUUCUACUUCUGUGAAUAUUAAAAUAGCUUCAAUAAUUGUAGGAAAUCUAAAAAUAAAUGGGAAUUAGUACUGUACUGUCACAAAAUGAUUUUAACCAAACUCUUCAAUGCGGUACAAAACUAAAGUGACCUACUUCAAUCUAUUGGGAGUUUCCUAAUUAUUAAACCAAAAAUAAGGAGGGAAUUAUAAUAGCUCUAUUUUCAGUUUUUUAAAAUACUAAACUAAAAAGGUUUGCUUAGAAAUGAACAGAGACGACAGUAACAUGUCAAAAUCUUCUCCUUCGAUAGCAUCCCUACCAAAUGUUUCCACUCUCUUAUCAUCAUAAAUGCAAAACCAAGGUAAGGAUCUAAACACAAAUGAAAUCUAAAUUUACUAGAAUUUUUCCCAUGGGAAAGAAUGCUCUUCAGCAAUUUAAACCUUAAGUAGUCUUAAGAUCAAAAUAAUAGCAGCGUAAUCAAGUAACAGGCUUCCUCCAUAAUGACUUGUACAAAGAAGCAAUCAGGACUUGCAUCCUUCACCCUAAAAAAAAAACUGCUGUGAUUUUAAGAGUAUACUAAAAAUGUAUUUUAUCAAUAUAUGUUAUAGUGCAUAUACAUUUUAUGGUAGGGAAUUAUUACAAUAGGUAGUCCAUAAUUAAGAGAUGCACUUAGAAAUAAAAGA